AGGGAGACAAUACAGCUCGCCGUCCCUGUAUAAUAGCAGAAUACGUAAAAUACAGAAAGCUUCCAUUACCCACAGUAAGCCCUGCUUUUCCCCGCCUUCCGUGUUUUCCUGCUCACGUGGCCUGGCGCAGCCAGGGGUUUAUUUCUAUGGCCUGUCACACUGCCAUUGUGAAGCAGCGUAUAAAUAGAAUUACGGAGUGUGGAGAUUUCGCUGUCUGCCUUCAUCCCCUCGCUGUGGUGCUUUUGAGCGUCUCCUUUGUUGGCGCAGGUGAAUUUAGUCUUGAAGCAAGAGGAAACACCUGCGGGUGACCUGGCUGGGCGGAAGCUUGACCAACUGAUAUACGCAAGGAAUCAUGGGAAAACGCCAAUCAGCCCUAUAUUUGUUUCUCAACUAGAGCGGAUCAAGCAGCCACAGGAGUGUCUGGUUGAAGCCACAGUGAGGAUGGUGCAGGGCCCUGUUCUGUAGUCCAGGCAUGCUUGACACUCAACAUGAAGCCCCAACGGCCUCAAGCAUGGAACGACCCUCUUCCUUCAGCCUCCCAAGUAACGGUGAGCCACCAAGUCGAGUUCUAAGUUCUUUCUUCUUUUAAGAAAUGGUGGCACGAUGAGCUCUGAAGAAAGAACAAGCUACAAACUCAUGGGGACGGCCCUGCCAGGACGUCCUGGAGCUGCCUCUCCAGUGCCUGGAGCAGCCCAGCACUCGAGGCACCAGGGAGCUGGGAGCUUGGGCCGAAGGGGCAGCAGACGCUGCAGAACGCACUGGGCUCUGGUCAGCAUGCAGGCCCGGAUCGACAUUCCAAGAUUUCCUCCCACUCUGUCUUCACAAGUGGGUCCUCCAUGGUCGAAACACCACAGCGUUUGAAGUUGAAGAACAAGCAAACGAAAGGUUUGAUGUCUGACGUUCAGAGUGAACAAAGUGUACCAGGGGAGGCAAGAUGUCCCUUCGGACACUGAAGAACUGCUACACCCCCAUGCAGAGAUGGGCCACGUGUAAGACUCCUGACUAGCCCGAGUGGCGAUCGUUUGGUGUCAGUUCUCGGCUGGCUAUCACUGUUAUUUUGGUGGUCAGCUGGAUGCAGACUCUCUUAUUUGAGGAAAAAGAUUAAAACAAAACACUGGGGAAUCAAUAGUCUGAAUGAGCAACAGAUUUCUAACUGACCAACCAAUCUGAAGCAUCUUCAACGGAAGUAUGGCUGGUCACAAUACAGAACUUCGGGCCAACUCAACUCUGCAGACAGCUGGGGCAAGAAAGACAGGACAGUCCCCACAGACUACGCUGUGAUGGAUCAAGUCACAGCUGGAGGCACAUGUGGUCUUUUUCCAAGAGGAAGGGACCACUGUUGGCCAGCCCUUUUACAGUCCCGUCAGAUUCAUGCAGAACCGUAAGGUGGAACCAAACGACACAUACUGCCAUUCCGUAAAAUGCGAGGAGGGGGAGAAGGUUAGCGGCCAUCCAUCUAUCAGUGGGUCCUAGGAUUCUGGUGCCUCUCGGUGCCUUUGUUGGGUGGUUGGGGCUCAGACUCCCAAACUGUGGAUCACGACCUGUAACUCAAUGUGCUGACUGUGGAGUUGUGCUGACUGUAAAAGGUUUUUAAACAUGGGGCAACAACAACAACAACAAUAACAACAACAGAUUAAUUCAGAGUCAGAUAGGCAGCAGAUCUGGUGUUCUGUUAGGAUGAUUGAUUUUAAAAAUUGCUGUUUGCUUAGGCUGGAGAGAUGGCUCAGUGGUUAGGAGCACUUGCUGCUCCUCCAGAGGACCCAGGUUCUAUUCUUACCACCCCUAGAGUGGCUAAGAACUGCAACUCUAAUUUCAGGAGACCAGGCAUUCUCCUCUUCUGGCUUUCUUGAGCACUGCACAAACAUGGUGUACACACACACACACACACACACACACACACACACACACGAAAUAAGAAAAAAAUCUGCUGUUUAAGCCUCCUGUGGUGGCUCAUGCCCUUAAACCUAGUCCUGUGAAGGCAGAGGCAGGGGGAUCUCCAUGACUUUAAUGCUAGCCUGGCAGACAUAUUGAGUUCCAAGUCAACCUGGGUUACAUGGUGAAACCCUGUCUCAAACAACCAAAGAUUUGUGGGGCUAGAGAAAUAGAUCAGAGUCGAGAGUGUGUACUGCUCUUGCAGAGGACCCUGAUUCAGUUCUCACAGCACCCGCACAGAGCGACUCACAUCUGUCUGAAACUCUAUCCACAGGAAGACCUCUGGGCACCACUUGGUUGUGCACCCCCAUGCAGGCCUACACCCACAGAGUUAGCAAAAAGUAAAUCUUUAAGAUUUUCCUCUUGAUGACCAGGAAUUUAUAAAAAAAAAAUACACAAUGAAUGUUGGUCUGGGAUUAGAACAAACCUUCUAACCAUCUCUGAAAUGGUUCUAAACUUAUUUUUGCCAUUUUGUACUCUACAUUUAUGCAAAGAAAUUCCCUUGGCACUGCUGAUUCUAAAAAUCAAAAUAUGUAUCAACUCUGAAACUUCAGACACUAAAGGCACUCUGCAUCCUGCUGAUCAAACAUUCAGUCAGGGGUUAAUGCUUUACAUAAAAACACAGAAGCACCCGCUUCUCAUCGGUGUGCAAACUUGCCUUCAUCAUUAAUAAAUGGUAACGUGUAAGGGAAAGCUAUUUUAAGAUAAAAUUCUUUAUGACUCAC
Molecule: long non-coding RNA, 2657 nt
Organism: Rattus norvegicus (Norway rat)
Lineage: Eukaryota; Metazoa; Chordata; Mammalia; Rodentia; Muridae
Source: RefSeq, a predicted model, not a curated record